This 253-nucleotide ribosomal RNA is filed under the name uncultured bacterium. RNAcentral describes it as "partial 16S ribosomal RNA". It matches the Rfam family "Bacterial small subunit ribosomal RNA", at positions 524 to 776 of the family's 1533-position model. The record is from RNAcentral.
UACGUAGGGGGCAAGCGUUGUCCGGAUUCAUUGGGCGUAAAGAGCGUGUAGGCGGCCAGGUAGGUCGGUUGUGAAAACUGGAGGCUCAACCUUCAGAGGUCGACCGAAACCAUCUGGCUAGAGUCCGGGAGAGGAGAGUGGAAUUCCUGGUGUAGCGGUGAAAUGCGUAGAUAUCAGGAGGAACACCGAUGGCGAAGGCAGCUCUCUGGCCUAUAACUGACGCUGAGGUGCGAAAGCGUGGGGAGCAAACGGG